CCUACGGGUGGCAGCAGUGGGGAAUAUUGGGCAAUGGGCGCAAGCCUGACCCAGCAACGCCGCGUGAAGGAAGAAGGCCUUCGGGUUGUAAACCUCUUUUCUCAGGGACGAAGAAAGUGACGGUACCUGAGGAAUAAGCGACGGCUAACUACGUGCCAGCAGCAGCGGUAAUACGUAGGCGGCAAGAGUUAUCCGGAUUUACUGGGUGUACAGGGCGUGUAGGCGGGAAAGGAAGUCAGAUGUGAAAACCAUGGGCUCAACCUGUGGACUGCAGUUGAAACUGUUCUUCUUGAGUACUGGAGAGGCAGACGGAAUUCCUGGUGUAGCGGUGAAAUGCGUAGAUAUUAGGAGGAACACCAGUGGCGAAGGCGGUCUGCUGGACAGCAACUGACGCUGAGGCGCGAAAGCGUGGGGAGCAAACAGGAUUAGAUACCCGGGUAGUC
RNAcentral lists this ribosomal RNA (443 nucleotides) under uncultured bacterium. RNAcentral describes it as "partial 16S ribosomal RNA". It matches the Rfam family "Bacterial small subunit ribosomal RNA", at positions 338 to 795 of the family's 1533-position model. The record is from RNAcentral.